CUCUCUCUCUCUCUCUCUUCCCCUCCCCUCCCCUAAUCCCAACAACAACAACAAACAAAGAAAAUCACCCUCCAAAGUGGCUGUGUUCUGUUUUCAGUAGAGGAAUGAUGAAUCAAUGUGGUGUUUGCUACUGGAUUUACGUGGUAAUUGUUAAUGCGGAAGGAAGGUUGUUGGUUUUCUGUCUAUUAUUGAUCAAUGCAUGGAUUGUGUUGAACGGUAAAGGAGAAACUGCUAAUUAUUCAGUAUUUUAAGAUGCAUGAUUUGGCUCAGAAACAAUUGAACUACCAUAUUUAUACUUUUAAGGAUUAUUUUUUAAAUAGCUUAUCUAACUAGCUCUGAUACAAUAUUCCAGUACCAUUGAUCUUUGGGAUUUCUAUACCAUCUUUCCGCUCUAUCCAUCUGCAGCCGUGCAACCAGACUUUCAAGAAAACACUAGGGCAAGUUGUAUUGGUGACCUUUCCUUGGCACAACACGAAAAUUAGUGAAAGAUGCCAACUUUUAUAUUAAGAUACUUCUGAAUCUUACGUGCUUGAAUUCAGAACUUAAGAUGUACAUUAACCCAUUGCAUUGAUUAAAGCCUCAUGCAAUUUUGUUGCAGCUUCAUCUGAA
Molecule: unclassified non-coding RNA, 609 nt
Filed under: Hevea brasiliensis (rubber tree)
Lineage: Eukaryota; Viridiplantae; Streptophyta; Magnoliopsida; Malpighiales; Euphorbiaceae
Source: RNAcentral